This 515-nucleotide long non-coding RNA is filed under the name Salmo salar (Atlantic salmon). RNAcentral describes it as "lncRNA (ENSSSAG00000106041.1)". Lineage: Eukaryota; Metazoa; Chordata; Actinopteri; Salmoniformes; Salmonidae. The record is from RNAcentral.
UGGGAGGUUUAAACAGUCUACACUGGGAGGUUUAAACAGUCUACACUGGGAGGUUCAAACAGUCUACACUGGGAGGUUCAAACAGUCUACACUGAGAGGUUCAAACAGUCUACACUAGGGAGUUCAUACAGUCUACCCUGGGAGGUUCAAACAGUCUACACUGGGAGGUUCAAACAGUCUACACUGGGAGGUUCAAACAGUCUACACUGGGAGGUUUAAACAGUCUACACUGGGAGGUUCAAACAGUCUACACUGGGAGGUUUAAACAGUCUACACUGGGAGGUUCCAACAGUCUACACUGGUUGGUUCCAACAAUCUACACUGGGAGGUUUAAACAGUCUACACUAGGAGGUUCAAACCUACAAUACAUUCACACCACUCGGUAAGUAGGUCAUUUUGGAUUUACGACGGAUAUACUAUCAGCAUCCUGUCAUGAAUCUGCCUCCAUGUUCUAUGUAGGAAGUUGAUGAUCAUGUUUUUUGUGUGCAAUUUUCAUUACUAUAAUUAUUAUUGGC